UCUGUAUCAGGCAGGAGACGUAAUGCCUGCCACAGAAUCAGAUCAAGUGUGUAAAAGAUAAUUGAUUAUAAAAAAUAUAAAAAAUUCAACCAUGAACAGUUUUCCCAUUGGCUAAGGAAUGGGAAAGAGCGAGGGAGAAAAUGGGCAGAAACCUGAAAACAUAUAGAUCCAUCGGGAUUAAAAACCAUAGCAAUAUUUACAGACCAGGGCUAUAUAAUGACAUGCUCUAGACCAGGGACAGAGCUAUGACAAGAGGUACAGACCAGGGCCAUAUAAUGACAUGCUCUAGACCAGGGACAGAGCUAUGACAAGAGGUACAGACCAGGGCUAUAUAAUGACAUGAUCUAGACCAGGGACAGAGCUAUGACAAGAGGUACAGACCAGGGCCAUAUAAUGACAUGCUCUAGACCAGGGACAGAGCUAUGACAAGAGGUACAGACCAGGGCCAUAUAAUGACAUGCUCUAGACCAGGGACAGAGCUAUGACAAGAGGUACAGACCAGGGCCAUAUAAUGACAUGCUCUAGACCAGGGACAGAGCUAUGACAAGAGGUACAGACCAGGGCCAUAUAAUGACAUGCUCUAGACCAGGGACAGAGCUAUGACAAGAGGUACAGACCAGGGCCAUAUAAUGACAUGCUCUAGACCAGGGACAGAGCUAUGACAAGAGGUACAGACCAGGGCCAUAUAAUGACAUGCUCUAGACCAGGGACAGAGCUAUGACAAGAGGUACAGACCAGGGCCAUAUAAUGACAUGCUCUAGACCAGGGACAGAGCUAUGACAAGAGGUACAGACCAGGGCCAUAUAAUGACAUGCUCUAGACCCAGGGACAUGCUCUAGACCCAGGGACAUGGUCU
Oncorhynchus gorbuscha (pink salmon) is the source of this 856-nucleotide long non-coding RNA. RefSeq lists it as uncharacterized. The transcript is spliced from 3 exons. NCBI's taxonomy places the organism in Eukaryota, Metazoa, Chordata, Actinopteri, Salmoniformes, Salmonidae. The record is from RefSeq and is a predicted model, not a curated record.